Oreochromis aureus is the source of this 299-nucleotide long non-coding RNA. RefSeq lists it as uncharacterized. The record is from RefSeq and is a predicted model, not a curated record. The transcript has 2 exons. Lineage: Eukaryota; Metazoa; Chordata; Actinopteri; Cichliformes; Cichlidae.
AUGUGGUUUUCCCCGACCGGACAUCCAGCACCACCUCUCCAUCUCUCCUCCAGCGCACAGACUUCACCCACUGACCUGCUGUGAUGGAGCGGCACGGGAGGAUGGCAUCCUCGCCCUCGUGUACAAAAACAUCAGAAGGAGCUUCACUCUGAAUCCUGACCUCCUUUAUUUCACAGUAUAUAGGUACAGUCACGAGAGGUUAGUAAUAUCUGGAAGACUCAGACCGAUGCAGAGAUCUGAACUCUGAUCCUUUCAGUUCUUCUGGUUACUGAAGCUGCUUCUUUGUCAGUCUUACUGUU